GCGCCCGUAGCUCAGCUGGAUAGAGUACCUGCUACGAACCAGGCGGGUCGGGAGUUCGAAUCUCUCCGGGCGCGCCA
This 77-nucleotide transfer RNA is filed under the name Pseudoxanthomonas sp. NC8. Its description in RNAcentral is "tRNA-Arg". It matches the Rfam family "tRNA". From Rfam's summary of the family: Transfer RNA (tRNA) molecules are approximately 80 nucleotides in length. Their secondary structure includes four short double-helical elements and three loops (D, anti-codon, and T loops). The record is from RNAcentral. Lineage: Bacteria; Pseudomonadati; Pseudomonadota; Gammaproteobacteria; Lysobacterales; Lysobacteraceae.